GUUUGACAAGUCCAGUCUGCUUCCCUCUACUUCUCUUCUGCCUCAUGCCUUUGGUUCUUUCUUUUCCCAUUCUAGGGGUGUGACCUGUUCUGUGGUCUCCUACAGUAUUGUUAUUGUAAAGGAUUUAUAGUGUUGGGUGUGACUGAAAGCAUAUCAGUUUUUCUCUGUAGGAAUGGGUCAAUGAACAAUUUGAUCCAACAGCCAUCCAACAGGCUGAAGCAGGAGUUGGGGAGCUCUUAGACCUUCACCUGUCAUUGAAGACCAAGGUCAUUCACUGCAUCCCAGGCCAAUAGCAGUGCUGACUUUUGUCCUGCUGCUGGACCUUGAUGACUCAGGAAGAGAAAGUGUGAUGGAUGAUUGCCACAGUCUGCUCACAAAUCCAAUUCAAAGUCAGAUCAAGACAUGACCUGUGAUGUCAUUGGUCCUUUUCAGAAAAUGAAGGAUGAACACCAGCUACAAGAAGAGAAGAAAGCAUCUUCUUGGCUGAUGCUUAUGCUUUAAGAGAGCAAAUGUUGCCAAAGAUGAACCUCUUCUUCUCUUUAAUAAUAACUGAAUGGGAUUAAAAUCUGCUCCACUCCUCCCCUCCACUCUUUCUACUCUGCUGCAAUGUUGAAUGUUCGAUUCAUUUGGAUUGUUUAAUGUUUGUGCUUCUAAAUUUUUUGCAUGGGGUUAAACUAUAACAGUAUGACAAUCAACCACUAAUGUUUAUUAAUUGAUUAAAUAUUUACUAAACUCUUCCAGGUGCCAGGCACUGGGCUAAGUGCUGGCAAUCCAAAAAAUAAGGAAAAGACAGUUUCUGUACUCAAGGAGCUUAUGAUCUAAUGAGGGAGAGAACAUGCAAAUAAAUGUCUACAAAGAAAGCAUUAUUCAGGAUAAAUAGGAAAUAAAUAAUGGAGGGAAAGUACUGGAAUUGAAGGGUGGAGGAAACCUUUUCCUGUACUGGCUUCCUAAGUAUUCCCAUUUUACAGAUAGUUAAAGUGUGGCUUGGCUUCCAAAUUGUAUACAAUAAUUCAGGAUUUCUUUGCCAAUGACCUAAGCUAUCCAGAACCUCAUCAGGAUGCUGUUAAGUCAAGUCUUUUGUUGUUGUUGUUCUUUAUUGAGUCUGUCUCUUUGUGAUUCUUUUGAAGUUUUCUUGGCAAAGAUACUGGAGUAAUUUGCCAUUUCCUGCUCCAGUUCAUUGUACAGGUGGGGAAACUGAGGCAAACAGGGUGAUGACUUGCCCAGGAUCACACAGCUAGUAAAAGCUUUGAAGGCCAGAUUUGAACUCAGGAAGAUUCCUUGCCAAAGUAUCUAGCCCCAGAUCUAUUUAGCUUCCCUGGACAAUUCCAGCCUUCUUUGUUUACCCUUUAGUUAAGUGCUUUAUCAUAGACAGUCUAUCUCUAGUAAUGGCCAAUUAGUACUUUAUUAUGUUGGUUGAUUAUGCUGAUAUAAAAUACUGUAUUGUUUCUUAAUCAUUUUAGGCGUGUCUACCUCCCUGAAACAUUGUAAAUUCCUCUCAGUCAGUGACCACACCUCUUAUUUUCUUCUCCUUCAGGAUAUCAAGGACAAGGCUAGACACAUUAUACGUG
Long non-coding RNA from Sarcophilus harrisii (Tasmanian devil), 1568 nucleotides. NCBI's taxonomy places the organism in Eukaryota, Metazoa, Chordata, Mammalia, Dasyuromorphia, Dasyuridae. The record is from Ensembl.